This 164-nucleotide ribosomal RNA is filed under the name uncultured bacterium. Its description in RNAcentral is "partial 16S rRNA". It matches the Rfam family "Bacterial small subunit ribosomal RNA", at positions 355 to 511 of the family's 1533-position model. The record is from RNAcentral.
UAGGGAAUCUUCCACAAUGGACGCAAGUCUGAUGGAGCAACGCCGCGUGAGUGAAGAAGGUUUUCGGAUCGUAAAACUCUGUUGUUAGAGAAGAACACGAGUGAGAGUAACUGUUCAUACGUUGACGGUAUUUAACCAGAAAGUCACGGCUAACUACGUGCCAG